RNAcentral lists this ribosomal RNA (586 nucleotides) under uncultured bacterium. RNAcentral describes it as "partial 16S ribosomal RNA". It matches the Rfam family "Bacterial small subunit ribosomal RNA", at positions 355 to 1375 of the family's 1533-position model. The record is from RNAcentral.
UGGGGAAUUUUGGACAAUGGGCGAAAGCCUGAUCCAGCAAUGCCGCGUGUGUGAAGAAGGCCUUCGGGUUGUAAAGCACUUUUGUCCGGAAAGAAAUCCUUGGCUCUAAUACAGUCGGGGGAUGACGGUACCGGAAGAAUAAGCACCGGCUAACUACGUGCCAGCAGCCGCGGUAAUACGUAGGGUGCAAGCGUUAAUCGGAAUUACUGGGCGUAAAGCGUGCGCAGGCGGUUUGCUAAGACCGAUGUGAAAUCCCCGGGCUCAACCUGGGAACUGCAUUGGUGACUGGCAGGCUAGAGUAUGGCAGAGGGGGGUAGAAUUCCACGUGCAGCAGUGAAAUGCGUAGAGAUGUGGAGGAAUACCGAUGGCGAAGGCAGCCCCCUGGGCCAAUACUGACGCUCAUGCACGAAAGCGUGGGGAGCAAACAGGAUUAGAUACCCUGGUAGUCCACGCCCUAAACGAUGUCAACUAGUUGUUGGGGAUUCAUUUCCUUAGUAACGUAGCUAACGCGUGAAGUUGACCGCCUGGGGGAGUACGGUCGCAAGAUUAAAACUCAAAGGAAUUGACGGGGUCAUAGCUGUUUCCU